CCCUCCUGGCAAUGGGCAAAGAGACACCUGGGUGGUGGUGGUGUUCUUAUAACAGUCAGGGGCAGAGCAGAUGCAAGCCUUUCCCCAUCCUAGUUUGAUGCAUGGUUUGGCGGCCAAAGCUGCUUUAUGACUAGGACACAUAG
Molecule: small nucleolar RNA, 143 nt
Organism: Arvicanthis niloticus (Nile rat)
Lineage: Eukaryota; Metazoa; Chordata; Mammalia; Rodentia; Muridae
Product: small nucleolar RNA SNORA48
Source: RefSeq, a predicted model, not a curated record